UACGUAGGGCGCAAGCGUUGUCCGGAUUUACUGGGCGUAAAGAGCGCGCAGGCGGCUGGCCAAGUCCGAUGUGAAAUCUCCCGGCUUAACCGGGAAACUGCAUCGGAAACUGGCCGGCUUGAAGGUGGGAGAGGGUAGCGGAAUUCCCGGUGUAGUGGUGAAAUGCGUAGAUAUCGGGAGGAACACCAGUGGCGAAGGCGGCUACCUGGCCCAUUCUUGACGCUGAGGCGCGAAAGCUAGGGGAGCGAACGGG
RNAcentral lists this ribosomal RNA (253 nucleotides) under uncultured bacterium. RNAcentral's name for it is "partial 16S ribosomal RNA". It matches the Rfam family "Bacterial small subunit ribosomal RNA", at positions 524 to 776 of the family's 1533-position model. The record is from RNAcentral.